RNAcentral lists this ribosomal RNA (608 nucleotides) under uncultured Polaromonas sp. RNAcentral's name for it is "bacterial SSU rRNA". It matches the Rfam family "Bacterial small subunit ribosomal RNA", at positions 897 to 1497 of the family's 1533-position model. The record is from RNAcentral. Lineage: Bacteria; Pseudomonadati; Pseudomonadota; Betaproteobacteria; Burkholderiales; Comamonadaceae.
AACUUCAAAGGAAUUGACGGGAACCCCGCAACAAGCGGUUGNAUGAUGUGGUUUAAUUCGAUGCAACGCGAAAAACCCUUACCUACCUUUGACAUGUACGGGAACUCGCCAGAGAUGGCUUGGUGCUUCGAAAGAGANCCGUAACACAGGUGCUGCAUGGCUGUCGUCAGCUCGUGUCGUGAGAUGUUGGGUUAAGUCCCGCAACGAGCGCAACCCUUGUCAUUAGUUGCUACAUUUAGUUGGGCACUCUAAUGAGACUGCCGGUGACAAACCGGAGGAAGGUGGGGAUGACGUCAAGUCCUCAUGGCCCUUAUAGGUAGGGCUACACACGUCAUACAAUGGAUGGUACAAAGGGUCGCCAACCCGCGAGGGGGAGCCAAUCCCAUAAAGCUAUUCGUAGUCCGGAUCGCAGUCUGCAACUCGACUGCGUGAAGUCGGAAUCGCUAGUAAUCGUGGAUCAGAAUGUCACGGUGAAUACGUUCCCGGGUCUUGUACACACCGCCCGUCACACCAUGGGAGCGGGUUCUGCCAGAAGUAGUUAGCCUAACCUGCAAAGGAGGGCGAUUACCACGGCAGGGUUCGUGACUGGGGUGAAGUCGUAACAAGGU